CUUGCUGUUUCGCUGACGAGUGGCGGACGGGUGAGUAAUGUCUGGGAAACUGCCUGAUGGAGGGGGAUAACUACUGGAAACGGUAGCUAAUACCGCAUAACGUCGCAAGACCAAAGAGGGGGACCUUCGGGCCUCUUGCCAUCGGAUGUGCCCAGAUGGGAUUAGCUAGUAGGUGGGGUAACGGCUCACCUAGGCGACGAUCCCUAGCUGGUCUGAGAGGAUGACCAGCCACACUGGAACUGAGACACGGUCCAGACUCCUACGGGAGGCAGCAGUGGGGAAUAUUGCACAAUGGGCGCAAGCCUGAUGCAGCCAUGCCGCGUGUAUGAAGAAGGCCUUCGGGUUGUAAAGUACUUUCAGCGGGGAGGAAGGGAGUAAAGUUAAUACCUUUGCUCAUUGACGUUACCCGCAGAAGAAGCACCGGCUAACUCCGUGCCAGCAGCCGCGGUAAUACGGAGGGUGCAAGCGUUAAUCGGAAUUACUGGGCGUAAAGCGCACGCAGGCGGUUUGUUAAGUCAGAUGUGAAAUCCCCGGGCUCAACCUGGGAACUGCAUCUGAUACUGGCAAGCUUGAGUCUCGUAGAGGGGGGUAGAAUUCCAGGUGUAGCGGUGAAAUGCGUAGAGAUCUGGAGGAAUACCGGUGGCGAAGGCGGCCCCCUGGACGAAGACUGACGCUC
This 676-nucleotide ribosomal RNA is filed under the name Shigella flexneri. RNAcentral's name for it is "bacterial SSU rRNA". It matches the Rfam family "Bacterial small subunit ribosomal RNA", at positions 79 to 748 of the family's 1533-position model. Lineage: Bacteria; Pseudomonadati; Pseudomonadota; Gammaproteobacteria; Enterobacterales; Enterobacteriaceae. The record is from RNAcentral.